Molecule: ribosomal RNA, 436 nt
Filed under: Streptococcus sanguinis
Lineage: Bacteria; Bacillati; Bacillota; Bacilli; Lactobacillales; Streptococcaceae
Description: bacterial SSU rRNA
Rfam family: Bacterial small subunit ribosomal RNA
Source: RNAcentral
GACGAACGCUGGCGGCGUGCCUAAUACAUGCAAGUAGAACGCUGAAGAGAGGAGCUUGCUCUUCUUGGAUGAGUUGCGAACGGGUGAGUAACGCGUAGGUAACCUGCCUGGUAGCGGGGGAUAACUAUUGGAAACGAUAGCUAAUACCGCAUGAUAUUAAUUGUCGCAUGAUAAUUAAUUGAAAGAUGCAGUUGCAUCACUACCAGAUGGACCUGCGUUGUAUUAGCUAGUUGGUGAGGUAACGGCUCACCAAGGCGACGAUACAUAGCCGACCUGAGAGGGUGAUCGGCCACACUGGGACUGAGACACGGCCCAGACUCCUACGGGAGGCAGCAGUAGGGAAUCUUCGGCAAUGGGGGGAACCCUGACCGAGCAACGCCGCGUGAGUGAAGAGGGUUUUCGGAUCGUAAAGCUCUGUUGUAAGAGAAGAACGGGU